This 253-nucleotide ribosomal RNA is filed under the name uncultured bacterium. RNAcentral's name for it is "partial 16S ribosomal RNA". It matches the Rfam family "Bacterial small subunit ribosomal RNA", at positions 524 to 776 of the family's 1533-position model. The record is from RNAcentral.
UACGUAGGGAGCAAGCGUUGUCCGGAAUCAUUGGGCGUAAAGCGCGCGUAGGUGGCUUCGUAAGUCCGUUGUGAAAGUCAAAGGCUCAACCUUUGAAAGCCGAUGGAUACUGCGGAGCUAGAGUACGGAAGAGGCAAGUGGAAUUCCUGGUGUAGCGGUGGAAUGCGCAGAUAUCAGGAGGAACACCUAUAGCGAAGGCAGCUUGCUGGGACGUUACUGACGCUAAGGCGCGAAAGCGUGGGGAGCGACCAGG